RNAcentral lists this long non-coding RNA (6592 nucleotides) under Triticum aestivum (bread wheat). RNAcentral's name for it is "long non-coding RNA (TAES_LNC019643)". The record is from RNAcentral. Lineage: Eukaryota; Viridiplantae; Streptophyta; Magnoliopsida; Poales; Poaceae.
UUUUUUCUUGUAUAUAAUAUAUUUAUGUUGUUGCCUUAUAUAUCAUAGUGGCUGUGUAUUGUUUGUGGACUUAUGAUAUGUACUAGUACAUAUGAGGCUGAGUAUAUAUGUUAUUUGUUUGUGGUAAUUUAGUUUUUCUUUAAUGUCCCGAUGAUGUUUUAGAUUAGAUGUGAAAAUAAUAUUCGCUACAGAAUGCGUACACAGUUAGCAUGUGUACAUGAAUAAGUUUGUAACUAAUAAUGUAAAAAUAUAUCCUGAGAAUGGAAAUAAAUUACAAUAAACCAAAUUUUAACAAAUCACACCCGCAGCAAAUAAAAUAUUCUACUGACUCUGUGCUUGAUUAGAAAGCGUAUGAAUUUUGUCUGAAGUCAAACAGUGUAAAGUAUGACAACAUUUUUAGUAAAAACUAUUAACAACCACAAUAUUAAUUAAUUAGAUAUGAAAAAAUUAUUUAUUGUAUAUUUAAUGAUAUUAUUUUGGUAUUGUAAUUUCAACCAAAUCCUUGAUGCAAUAUGCUUUAAUAACCUGAUGAUGCAUGUGAAAACAAUAUUCGUCACAGUACGCAUACAUAGUUGCCAUUUUUGCAGAUGUAUACUUAGUAAAUAAUAUUAAAAAUGGAACGAAUAUUGUUCCGCGGAAAUAGUCCGGUUUCUAAGCAGUGUAUGUUAAAACUUUUGUGAAACAUUCUCAAAUUUACAACAACAAAUUGAUGUCAUAUAUGAGGGAACCAUGCCAAGUUUCAUGUUUUUCAAAUUUUUACCACAACAAAUUGAUGUCAUAUAAUGUCACAAUUUUUUAUAUCACAAACAUUUUUGAAUCGGCGAACAUUUUUUGAAAUAUUGGAACAAUUUUUUUAAAAUUCACAAACAUUUUUUGAAUCAGCAAACAUUUAAAAAAAUUGGAACAAUAUCUAAAAUUCAUGAACAUAUUUUUUUUGAAUUCAUGAAUGUUUUUGAAUUUGUGAACAAUUUUUUAUUUUAGAAAGAUUUUAAUAGAAAGCGGGCGGAAAUCUAAAAAAAACUAUCAAAAAACCUCAUUUUUGCAACAAAGAAACGUUGAAAACCAAUAUAAAUAUAUUAGAGCAUCUCCAACAGCCGCGCUAUAUAAGCGCCGCGCCACAAAUUAGUGGUUUUUAGCGCGCGCGCAAUAGGUAAACUAGCUCCAGCGGAGGCGCAAUUACCGCGCGCGCGGCAUAAAGUGUUCAGCAUGGGAGGCGGUGGCAUUGGCGGCAUGGGAGGCAGUGGCAUUGGUGGCUUCAGAGCUACCAUGGGCGGCAUGAGUGGUAUGGGUGGUUUCGGAGCUACCGUGGAGGCCAUGAGAGGCAUGGGUGGCUUCGGAGUUACCAUGAGAGGCAUGAGCUUUGCGUCUCUCAUGGGAGGUAUGGGAGCACCUCUGGGCGGAAUGCCUUCCGGUGUGCCUCAUCACACACCUUCCGUUGACGAUCUUGCCAACACCAUCCGAGCUCCCGAUGACGAUGCGGUGCUUCAAAAUGAAGAGGAGAAGGAAGAAUCGUCUUCGGAUGAGGAAGAUGAAUCGGAGGAAGAGGAGUACGAAGACGAGGAUGAGGCAUGAAGUGCCAUUCGUUUGUGUGAACUUUGUCAUGAACUUCGGAUUUUGAACUUGGUUGGAUGAUGUUGUGGGCAUGAAUUUGAAAUUUUAUGUCAUGAACUUGUUUGGGUUUAUGUUUUUGUUUUCAUGUUUCAAACAUCAUCAUCUCCAAAACUCCAUAUGGCAAGCGCCAGCUGCUCACGCGCGCUGCGGUUUUAGCGCGCCUGCUGGAGCAGCUCGCAAACGCUAAAAUUUACAGCGGCUGCUGGAGCAAGCGCACCGAGCCGCGCUAAAACAGGCGAUCCUCACGCUGCAAAUGGGUUUUUAGCGCGCCGCACGUAGCGUGGCUGUUGGAGAUGCUCUUAGGAAAGUCCAGUAGCGCUCGUUGUCCUAGUUGGGCCAGGAAAAAAUCAUGAUUGCAGGAGGAAGGGUGCGCAUUUCCUCGCUGUUGAGUAUCGUGAUUAUUAGGAAAGUUAGGAUAGUGUAGGAUAUUAUUCUACCUUGCCUUGUACUCCAAGAUAAUCAUGUACUCCUAUAUAUAUGCUCACGAGCCUCAAGCAAUACAACGAACUAUUCCAUCAAACCUCUCUCUUCUUUCUAACAUGGUAUCAGCCUAAUCUCGAUCCAAACCCUAGCCGUCGUCGUUUCCGCUCCGCGCGCCGCCCCCGGGGCGGUCGGCCUUCAUGACCGCCGCCGGGGUCGCGCCGCCCGUACCUAGGGUUUGUCCGCCAGUCGUGUUUACCGGCUGCCCUAGAGAGUCUUUUUCCCCGAUCGCUUGAUCCGGAUUUUUUUGUCCGUCGCCGAUCGUUUUGACCGGUGUUUCUUUUUGGUUUUUCGAUCUAAAGAUCGGUUUGAGUAACCCAUCGUCUGUCGAUCUUUUGCACGCAUCUGCUUCAACCUUGACAAUGACUACACGCUAGCACGCGGCUACUCUGGAACUCCCGCGUACAUACGCGCGUCGUUCCGGCCCGGCAUGCAUCCACCGAGAUCGGCUACUGCGGCGGCCGCUCGCAGCCUCUUGCGCUAGCCCGUCGUCCGGCAACGGAGUGGCCUCUGGCCGCUCCCACGCGGACGUUCGCUCGCAUGCGCGCAUGGUCUGCUGCUCAGUUGCCCACGCAGAUCCACCGAUCCAAUCAUGGAGGCUUGUGCCCGUGCAUGCAGGUGUUUGCAUGUGGUGCAUCCUCUAGGAGAUCCAGUGAAAAUCGUCUGGUAUACAGUAUACGUGCUUCUUCUCCAAUCGAGCAGUGGCUGCCGCUGCGUUGUCCCUUCGGACCGCAGCGUCGUCGCACCAUGGGUUUUCCCCAGCUGUAUCGAUCCGCGUGCUGCCGCUGCGUCGCCUCUUCGGACCGUAGUACCGCGGUCCACGGUCUACCAUCAUCCCGAUGUCGUCCGCUCCAGGACGUUCUCGUGGCUGCACCGACCCUCGCGCUGCCGCUGCGUCGCUCCGUCGGGCCGUAGCGAGCGUGACACGCGGUCCAUGCCGCCAUCCCGUGGUUCUCCCCGCGGCUGCACCGACCCGCGCGCUACCGAUGCGUCGCCCUUUCGGGCCGUAGUGCCACGGCCCACAGUCGACCGCCGCCCUGAGGCCGUCCGCUCCAGGCCGUCCCCGAGGCUGCAUCGACCCUCGCGCUGCCGCUGCGUCGCCCCGUUGGGCCGUAACGAGCGUGGCACGCGGUCCCUGCAACCGCCCAGAGGUCUUCCCCGCCGUCGCCCCGACCAACGCGCUGUCGCCGCAUCGCCCCUUCGGGUCGUAGCGUCGCGGCGCACGGUCCACUUCGCCGUCCCCGCGCGUCGACUUCUACGUGGUAUGUGUCGCGCCUCCUUCCUAGGCGCGGGAACGCCACCAUCCGCGCCGGUCUUCGUCACGCUGUCGGGUUCUUCCUCGCAUACUUCGAGCAAUACAACGAACUAUUCCACCAAACUUCUCUCUUCCUUCUAACACUGGCUACUCCCCUCGUAGGUCGAGGAAUAGGAGAUCCCCUCCAUGACUUCUUUGGGUUGUCACAGUGGCGGAGCUUCACGGGGUCAACCUUGGCCACCCACCACCCCAGCCCAUGAAGAAAUCUCCUAAUACUCUUUAGUAUUUGGGCCAUAAGUGCGGUAAAACAACCCAAACCUCGUAAUUUUGCCCACCCUCAGCCCUUUCCCCUUCAAAGAUUUGGCCUUAGCUCCGCCACUAAGUCAUCACAUUUCUAUAUGAAUCCAUCAUCAGAUGCCUUGAGUAAAUAUUAAUUGAACCUGGCCUCGUUUUAUCCCAUGCUCUGGAUCAACCCGUCACCUCUCCUCGUCGUGCCUAGACGGUGGCACCUCUCUGCAAUGUACCUCCUCGCUGCAUUGCAAGGAUGAAGGAGGCAAUGGUUUGCUUCAUCACCGGCAAUCGCAGGGCCACCGAGGUAGCCCACUGUGUAAGGACAACCCCAAUCAUCAUAGUGUACUGCGUGUACAUGAAAGAUCAUGGUGAUGCUAACAAUUUCUCCUAAAACAUCCCCGAGAAUAAUAAUUGAAUAAAUUUCAACAGAGAAGCUGAUAUUACAGGGAAGAACGCUAACGGGUCGCCAUUCUCAAAGAGGAAGGUGCUAACGCUGGAAGUGGCAAUGGGGUACACUGUCAUUGCCAUGAUGCCAAUCCCCGUCGUGCAGUCGGAUCUUCCUAAACCGGCUAAAAAGGUGUUUUAGUUAGUUUCCUACUUAUUUUUCUGCUCGUUAUUUUUUCAGCCCGCACAUUUCGGAAAACUGCCGCACUUAGGGGCAUUUUUUCUGCCGGUUUUCAUGAAACCGGUUGUAAUCAAAGUUUUAAAUAGCCAGCUAUAGAGGUUUGAGCAAGGUGUCACUAAAUAGUAUUCAUGUGUGAUUGUUCAAUAAGAUUACAAAAUAGCGACCUAUAGCCCCGCUAUGGCCGCGCUAUAGUUGUUUGAGCAGGGUGCCACUAUUUAAAAACUAUGGUUGUGACGAGGAAUCAAAAUUCGAUUUAUUAGUAGUGAAAGAAGUACAUACUGGGAACGUACUUUUAUAAACUAAUCCAUAUGUAUAUUUAUGGUUUUCAAGUAUACUCCUUGCAGCGCCUCCUACUCCGCCAGGUCCGCGUCCGGCGCGACCGCCCUGCCAGCGGUGACCUGCUCCUCCGCCUGCAGAUGCUCCUGGAGGAGGUUGUGGUUGUAGUUGGCGUCGGCCUGCGCCUCCUGGAACUGCUACUCCCGCACCAUGUCCAUAUGAUGGGUACAGGCCUCGCCGAUGGUCAUGGUGCAAUACACCGGCGAGGGUGGAGCGGAGGAGGAGGGUGCCACGGAAAAAGAGGAGGGUGGCGCUGGCUCGUCAUCGGAGGCGUCCUCCAUUUGCACGUCCUCUGGCUGGCUGCUGGCCUGCCAGUCGGCAGCAAUGGCGGCCAUGGCCUUCUUCUACUCCAACGUAAGCCUGUCCAAGAGAGUUUUGGCCGCGGGGGGAUCUAUGGCGGGGAGUGGUGGGUUGACUGUGGCUAUGGCCGGGGCAGUGGUUUAUAUAGCACCGGCGGGCGGUAGUUGAACGGACGAGUAGCGUCGGAGGAGACGCCUCGGCAACCGCGUGCCAUCAAUACGGGCCGCAGACGGACGGACGUGCGGCCGUCGUGUCGUUUGAACGUGCGGCAGUCGCUUGCACUGGGAAGUGGCGCGGGCGGCGCUCUCUCGACCGGCACCCCGCUUCAAUGCCGGUGCCAGUGACUGGUCGCGUUCGCUCUGGGCGGGCAUGAAUGCGGGCGCUGACGAUCAGGAGCGGCGCUGACCUAAAACACGAGAGAGGGUGAUGGGUUUUUGGUGGGCCAGGGCGGUCAGAAACGGGCUUGGGAUCGGUCCGGACUCCCACAAACCUCCCCCACUUUUGUCUCCGGUUUGCGGGAGAAAUCGCGUCCGAACCGCGCCACGGACCGAUGCAGGCCCGCGUCGGAUGGCUUCCACGGUGCGGACCGUUGCGGGAGAUUUGCGGGUCGGUGUUGGAGAUGCCUUAACAAUACUUAUGCAAGACUACACUUUUACUUUCACUGAGCAAAGGGAGUAAUGAUGUGAUGCUCAUGGUAAUAUAUUGCAACGAAAUCACGAAGUACUCCAACAUUACAACAGCGAUGCAUGCAUCCUGACAACAGGUCAUAACAAGAAAACUAAAUUUGCGGCAACAAUAGUACACCCUAUAUUGCCACACAGUACUUUCUCACUGCAAUAUUCCCAUGCAUGUACCACAGCAAUAUUUUGUUUCUGCUGCAGUAACCUGCAUGUCACAUUGCAAGCUAGAGAAUUAUUAAGUACUAGCUAAUGCUAAAAGUAAGUGAAGGGAAACCGUACGUGGCAAUGAAACUGCCACGGAUUAUUCGUCGUUGCAAUACUGCCAUAGGAAGGUCGAUCAUCAUUCUGCGAGAAGAGUGGAGUUGGCGGUGAUGGCGCCGGCAAAGACAGCGUCACAGCCGCCGCUCUGGCAGCCUGCACCGCAAUAGCCCGGGCCGAUGCCACAGGAUCCCCACUUGCUACAACAGUAGUUGUUAGUGCAAACCCUGCCGCCGGCGUCCUUGCCGCACGGCUUGUCGGUGCUGCAAGCACCGCUCUGGCAGCCACCGCCGCAGAACUCGGAACCUAGGCCGCAGAAUCCCCACUGGCUGCAGCAGAGGUUGUUCGGGCAUAGCUUGCCGCCGGACUGGCUGCCGCACUUGAUGUCGGCGCGGCAGGGGCCGCCCUGGCAGCCGGCGCCGCAGUACUCGGCUCCGAAGCCGCAGUGCCCGUACUGGCUGCAGCAGUGGUUGUUGGGACACGUCGCCCCGCCGGCCUGGCUGCCGCAGCGCUUGCUGGUCCAGCAGGCGCCGUUCUGGCAGCCCUUGCCGCAGUAGUCGCCGCCCAUGCCGCAGUACCCGUACUGGCUGCAGCAGAGGUUGUUGGGGCACUCCAUGUUGCUGCCCUGCUCGCCGCACCUCUGGGCCUGCGCGGUCGCCGCGGCGAAGGCGAGGAAGACAGCCGCGCCGAGCGUAAGGGCCAUGGUGCUCAUCAUCUUUCUCAUUAUUUCUCUUGGUGCUGGUUGUGCAGUUGUGU